Daphnia carinata is the source of this 674-nucleotide long non-coding RNA. RefSeq lists it as uncharacterized. The record is from RefSeq and is a predicted model, not a curated record. Lineage: Eukaryota; Metazoa; Arthropoda; Branchiopoda; Diplostraca; Daphniidae. The transcript has 2 exons.
UUGCUCGUGUGCACGCGUGCCGGACGGUGCUGUUUCUUUUUUUUUGUUUUGCUAGCCAAACUUUUCUUCUUUCGUUUUUCGGCAAAGGUGUUGAUUCCAGCCAACGCCAUCUAACGGUCAGAAAUGGCUUGUCAUCUGUUGCUGGGGUUCGGCGACACACAGAAAGCGAGAAUAACAGGCAGGCCAAACCAGAUGGACGGACAGACGGACAAACAUGCAUCGAGAGAGUGAGAAUCAGGACCCACCUGAAGACGUCGGCUGUAGUGAUGAUGACGAUUGCGGAUGACGUUAUGACUGAUGGGAUGGACGACGUUGCCACUGUCGUCGUCGUUGGACGUUUGGGCCGAAUGCAAUGACGGACUCGGUGAGCUCAGUUGCUGCAAAGAAAUGGACGGUUGGACUUGAUUGACUUCAGAGAGAGGAGACGCCUCGCCGGCAGAAGCGCUGACGCCGCAGACGAUGGAUGUAGAUGUUCCAGCCUCGUCGUUGCUGCUGAAACCCAGUUCCGUUCCGUACACAGAGUGGACAAAUUUCCACAAUUCCUGAUUGCCCAGUGGCUGCAAAUGUUUUUGGGUUUUCAGGUUUGUUUCGUAUUUUCCGAAAGAGGAGAAACAGAGCCAACGACGAUGACGACCACGAACGAACGAUGGCGUGUGAAAAAAACAUAAAAUAAA